ACUCGUUCCAUCAAGCCAUAAAAGGAAAUAUCACCAACACAAAUGCCAGAAUAGUCGGUGUGUUUGGAUCCAGAUCUCCUCGGACAUAAUUCUCCAGAGAAAUUCGGUGAAAAUCCUAUAAACCAUCACACAGAUCAGCCUAAAGUGGUAAUGAA
RNAcentral lists this long non-coding RNA (155 nucleotides) under Anas platyrhynchos platyrhynchos (common mallard). RNAcentral's name for it is "lncRNA (ENSAPLG00000030925.1)". Lineage: Eukaryota; Metazoa; Chordata; Aves; Anseriformes; Anatidae. The record is from RNAcentral.